CCAAACUUGGUCAUUUAGAGGAAGUAAAAGUCGUAACAAGGUUUCCGUAGGUGAACCUGCGGAAGGAUCAUUAGAGAGAUCGAAAUAUCCAUACCCACCUUGUGUGCACUCAUUGACCGUUUGCUUUGGCAGGGGAAAGGGGGGGGCACCCUCACCGUGUCUUCCCCCGUGAGGCCGAGUUUUCCAUUAUUUGGAGAUUGGCCUCAGCCUGCCAGAGUUUUCCUUGAAACUCACGCUUUUCUUUUUUUUUUUCGGACUGAACCCUUCGUCUCGAUUAAAAAAUCGGUCGAAUUUUUUGAUACAACUUUCAACAACGGAUCUCUUGGCUCUCGCAUCGAUGAAGAACGCAGC
RNAcentral lists this unclassified non-coding RNA (351 nucleotides) under uncultured fungus. Its description in RNAcentral is "partial contains small subunit ribosomal RNA, internal transcribed spacer 1, and 5.8S ribosomal RNA". The stretch from base 1 to 73 matches the Rfam family "Eukaryotic small subunit ribosomal RNA", at positions 1759 to 1831 of the family's 1831-position model. The record is from RNAcentral. Lineage: Eukaryota; Fungi.